This is a long non-coding RNA of Prosopis cineraria, 2162 nucleotides long. RefSeq lists it as uncharacterized. The transcript has 4 exons. Lineage: Eukaryota; Viridiplantae; Streptophyta; Magnoliopsida; Fabales; Fabaceae. The record is from RefSeq and is a predicted model, not a curated record.
GUGUCUUCUCUCGUAAGUGAUUUCAACAUCAACAAACGUGGGGACAGGAUCUUCCACGACAGGAUCUUCAAAAAUGAAAAUGACUCAAGGUCUGGACUAGAGGCUGACUUGCCCCUUUGUUGUCCUCUUGUUUGAGGACCCUCCAUCGAGAUCGGGAGUUACGCAUGUAUAGGUACCUAUUGGGAUCAACUAUAUUUCACCUGUGGUGAUGAUAUUUAAGAAAGAUGACAAUAUGCGUACAAAUUUGAUGCAGUGUUUCAGGACCCUCCAUCGUGAUCGUGACUUCUGCUUGCAUAUGUACCUGUCUUGAUCACUAAAUAUCCCACCUAUUGUGAUGGUAUUAACAAAGGCGGUGAAUUAAGAUAUGUACAAAUUUGAUGCAGUGUUUCAGGACCCUCCAUCGUGAUCGUGAGUUAUGCAUGUAUAGGCACCUGUUAUGAUCACUUGCUAUCCCACUUGCUGUGAUGGUAUUUAACAAGGUGAAAUAAGGUAAUUUCCAUGGAAUCAUUGAUAUGAGUUCAACAUAUAUGUAAUAGCUUCUAUGCAUUAACACGACUCACUAUUAGAAAAGUCACGCAUGACUAUUGAAGUAAUUGAGUUUCUUAUUUAUGUACAAGACAUGGUAUCAACGAAACGAUGCAAAAUUGUUAAAAGUAAAGUAAUUGUUAUAAUUUUUAUAUGGAGAAUUGAAAUUGGUUGGUACCUUGGGUGGGUGAUCCAUGAAUAACUUCCGGGUUAUAUUUCCUCCAUCUAUAGCCAUCAUUCUUUUUGUUGUUGUUGCCUUAGACAAGAUGCGAACAAAUUUGAUGCAGUGUUUCAGGACCCUCCAUCGUGAUCGGGAGUUACACAUGUAUUGGUACCUAUUGGGUUCAACCACUAUCCCACCUUUGUGAUGAUUAUUCAUGAAGGAAUCUGUUACGUUGGAGGCUUGUGUGAAUGUGUGUCUUCCCUGGGGAGUGAUUUCAACAAUAGUCAGGUCUUCUGCAGGUUGCUGUAGUCGCUUUCUAUCAGAGCAACCCCCUUGAACACGUUUGUAAUUGCUUCUACACAUUAACCCCACACAUUUUAGCAAAAUAAUGAAUAAUGAAUAAUUAUUAGAGUAAUUUUCUCAUUUUUGUAUAAGACAUAGUAUAAACAAAAUGUUGCAAAAUUGUUGAAGUAAUAAUUGAGUUUUAUUUUUCCCCCCUAUAGAGAAUUAAAUAUGUGGGUACCUUUGAGUAGGUGAUCCCCGAAUGACUUCCUGAUUAUAUUUCCUCCAUCUAUAGCCAUCAUCUAAGACCUCAUACUUUCCUUUGUUUGCUGCAUCAGACAAGAUGCGUACAAAUUUCAUGCAGUGUCUCAGGACCCUCCAUCGUGAUCGUGACUUGGCUUGCGUAUGUACCUGUUUUGAUCGCCCAAUGUCCCACCUGUUGUGAUGGUAUUUCAAAUGACGGUGAGUUAAGUAAUUGCCAUGUGAAUCAUUGAUACGUGUUCGAGAUAUUUAAAGAAGUAAAUAGAUUAUGACGCAGAAGCAAUGACCAUCAAUAAAAUAAAAAUCCAAUACCGUUUAAGACUUACCUAUACAGUCUUUAUUAUCAACUUCCCCAAAUUGAGCCGUUAAGUCAAGUUGAUUAUUCAUGGAGGAAUCUGUUACGCGAGAGGCUUGUGGGCAAGUGUGUCUUCCCUCAUAAGUGAUUCCAACAGUAGUCGGGUCUUCUGUAGAUUGCUGCAGUUGCUUUCUGGCAGAGCAACCCCCUGAACACAUUUGUAAUAUCUUCUAGGCAUUAAGACCCACACUGUUAGCCAAAUAAAAUCCAUAACUUAUGAAGUAGUUAAGUUUCUCUGUAUUUUUUUUCCUCCGGUUUUUUUUUUUUUUUACUCCCUUGUAUUACUAUUUUAAGUAGGUCUACCUUGGAUUUUUGGAUCCAACCGAUGCUUUCUGUUUCCUCCAAUUGUACCCAUCAUAUAAAGUAUCUUGACCUUCAUAUAUUCUUUUAGACACUGAAAAAGUCAUUCUGUAAUACAAGAAUUCAUCUUAGAAAAAUGCAUCACAAUUUUCGUAUAAGCUUCUGAAUAGAAAUAAAUAAAAUAUAGUUGUGCAUAUAUACCUGCUCAUUCUAUCGGCAUCUUUCUUUGUGUCCGCAUGUGAAGGUUGUAACGGCGUCUUAUGUGCUGUGAUAGAC